UUCCGCUUGAUCCUGCCGGACCCGACUGCUAUCAGAGUGGGACUAAGCCAUGCGAGUUAACGUAGCAAUACGUGGCAUACGGCUCAGUAACACGUAGUCAACAUGCCCAGGGGACGUGGAUAACCUCGGGAAACUGAGGAUAAACCGCGAUAGGUCAUGAUUUCUGGAAUGAUUCAUGGCCGAAAUCUACAUGGCCCCUGGAUUGGACUGCGGUCGAUCAGGCUGUUGGUGAGGUAAUGGCCCACCAAACCUGUUACCGGUACGGGCUCUGAGAGGAGGAGCCCGGAGAUGGGCACUGAGACAAGGGCCCAGGCCCUAUGGGGCGCAGCAGGCGCGAAACCUCUGCAAUAGGCGAAAGCCUGACAGGGUUACUCUGAGUGGUUUCCGCUAAGGGAACCUUUUGGCACCUCUACAAAUGGUGCAGAAUAAGGGGUGGGCAAGUCUGGUGUCAGCCGCCGCGGUAAUACCAGCACCCCGAGUGGUCGGGACGAUUAUUGGGCCUAAAGCAUCCGUAGCCGGUCCUGCAAGUCUUCCGUUAAAUCCACCUGCUUAACAGAUGGGCUGCGGGGGAUACUACAGGGCUAGGAGGCGGGAGAGGCAAGCGGUACUUUAUGGGUAGGGGUAAAAUCCG
RNAcentral lists this ribosomal RNA (631 nucleotides) under uncultured archaeon. Its description in RNAcentral is "bacterial SSU rRNA". It matches the Rfam family "Archaeal small subunit ribosomal RNA", at positions 1 to 641 of the family's 1478-position model. The record is from RNAcentral.